Molecule: long non-coding RNA, 1448 nt
Filed under: Nicotiana benthamiana
Lineage: Eukaryota; Viridiplantae; Streptophyta; Magnoliopsida; Solanales; Solanaceae
Description: long non-coding RNA (NBEN_LNC022901)
Source: RNAcentral
CAGAAUAAAGGUCCUCUGGCUUGAUCAAAAUUGACUCUUUGUCUGAAAGGAGAAGAAGGAUUAGGCACUGUGGCCUUAUUGAAUCCAACUGAAUGUCUAAUAGUGUGGACAUUGAAAGACAUAGAGUCUGGAUUAAACUGAGAAUGGGACUGGACUUGUCUCUUCUUCUCAUCAUUGAGGACCAUAUUAUAGACAUUGUCAAGGGUUGGAGGUGGCUGCAUCAUCAAUAGGUUACUCCUUACCCCCCAUGUAUGCUUCAUUAAGGCCCAUUAGAAACUGAAACACCUUAUUUUCAUCAUUUUCCUGUAUUAUACCAUCUUUGGCAGCACAAACACAUCUCUGCCCAUGAUUUGUACACAAUGAUUCUAAUUCAUCCCAUAGACCUUUAAGUUUAUUGAAAUAUGAAGCUACAUCUAGGGACCCUUGAGAGGUGUGAGAAAGCUCUCUAUUUAAUUCAAAAACUGCCCGAGAAGGGAGUGGGCACAAGAGAGACCCCAGGAACAUCAGAGGAGUAAACAAAGAGGGGGCUGGUAGAGUCCACCGAGGAGGUACUAGCAUUCGUAUUAGAAGUCAUGAUUAAUGAACCAGUUUGAAAAGAAAAUAGUCUCUGUAAGCAAAAUAUAACGAAACCAGAGUUCACAUACAAAGCAUACAAUACUCAAAAUAAGGACAGAGUUACCCUCCUUCUUCGCGACCGGAGAAGAUCGGCCUUCAAUCAACAGAUAAAACCCUAGGUUUGACCAGAUGCUCACAAUUACAGAGUCAAGUAAUCACAUAUAAAAUCGAGGAUAGGGACAGAGUUACCCUCCUUCUUCGCGACCGAAGAAGAUCGGCCUUCAAACAACAGAUAAAACCCUAGGUCCAACACCGGAAACCGUAGGUUCUCAAACUCACCAGAAUAAGGUCACAGACGUGGGAAAGUUACCCAAAACGUCUAUCAAGCGAAGACAAAUUCAUCGGAUAACAUCAAAGCUCUAGGUCCGAAAAUCGAAAAACCCUAGAAUUUGAAGAACUCGUCGGAAUAAAGCCAGGGAUGCCGGAAAAAUACCCAAUACACCCAUUGAUACAAGAUCGGAACCUCGAAUAACAGAAAAAUUUCGAUUAUCCGCUCAACAUUCGUUGAAACAUCUCCGAACAGUAUCUCUCAUCGGUAACCAUAAAAAAUUGAUACAAGAUCGGAUUCUCGAAUAACAGGAAAAUUCCGAUUAUCCUCUCAACAUUCGUUGAAACAUCUGCGAACAGUAUCUCUCACCGGUAACCAUAAAAGAAACUUCAGCAAAAGCUUCAAACGGGAUCGAUAACACGUAACCGAGAGGGAUCCGAAGAUCAUCUGGCUCUGAUACCAUGAAAACGUGAAGAUCAAGCUGAAGAACAUGAAGCAUCCAGUGAGAUAAAGAAGAGAGAGAAGAGAGUAGUUGAGAGAACUCUCCAGAACCUCGAGAGAGUCU